AUUUCGUGGAGGUCCGAACCCACGAGCGUUGAAAAGCUCGGGGAUGACUUGUGGGUAGCGGUGAAAUUCCAAUCGAGCCCGGAGAUAGCUGGUUCUCCCCGAAAUAGCUUUAGGGCUAGCCUCAAGGGGAGAGAUACGGAGGUAGAGCACUGAAUGUCCUAGGGGGUAUUGCACCUACCGAAGACUAUCAAACUCCGAAUGCCGUCAUCUUAUACUUGGGAGUCAGACUGUGGGUGAUAAGAUUCAUAGUCGAAAGGGCAACAGCCCAGAUCGUCAGCUAAGGUCCCUAAAUGUAAGUUAAGUGGUAAAGGAUGUGGGAUUGCACAGACAACCAGGAUGUUGGCUUAGAAGCAGCCACUCAUUCAAAGAGUGCGUAAUAGCUCACUGGUCGAGUGAUCCUGCGCCGAAGAUUUCCGGGGCUAAAACUUACUACCGAAGCUACGGCAUCAGUAAUGAUGGGUAGGGGAGCUUCCCAUACGGGUUGAAGCAUGACCGUAAGGACAUGUGGACAGUAUGGGAGUGAGAAUGUUGGCAUGAGUAGCGAGAUGUGGGUG
RNAcentral lists this ribosomal RNA (554 nucleotides) under Clostridioides difficile. RNAcentral describes it as "bacterial LSU rRNA". It matches the Rfam family "Bacterial large subunit ribosomal RNA", at positions 761 to 1323 of the family's 2925-position model. Lineage: Bacteria; Bacillati; Bacillota; Clostridia; Peptostreptococcales; Peptostreptococcaceae. The record is from RNAcentral.